Long non-coding RNA from Corapipo altera (White-ruffed manakin), 828 nucleotides. RefSeq lists it as uncharacterized. The record is from RefSeq and is a predicted model, not a curated record. Lineage: Eukaryota; Metazoa; Chordata; Aves; Passeriformes; Pipridae. The transcript is spliced from 2 exons.
AACGCGCAUGCGUAUAAAGGAUAAACGAGGCCAGGCUCCGCGUCGCCAUCUUGGGUGAUGGUGGUUGCCAUGGCAACCGCGCGGCCUGCACCUCUCCGAGCAGCCUGAGCCCUCCGAAAGGGGGAACGGCCCCGAGCCGACGACCCUCGACACCCUCUGGGACCCCCCCCCGUGUCCUCCUCGAGACACAGUCCUCGCUGUGACCCCUCCUCCCCGCUGGGACCCUGUGGUGCCCAGGGGUGGAUGCCAGGUGCCCACCCACCCACUCUAUCACUCCCCUUUCCAGCGGGACAGUGACUGAGGAGAGCCAUGAAGAACCAGCCUUCAGAAACAGGACAUGCGGAUGAAAUGCCAGAGGAGAAGCAACCCAAAGGAGUGAGACCUUCAGAAACAGAAGGUUUGGAAUCACUUGUAAUGGAGUUAAAACUGAAGGAAUGGCAUAAAGAAACUUGCACGGAACCAUACAUGAAGACUUUUAUCUGUGAACAACUUCCUCUGAUAGAUUUUUAUUUUUCUUUCUGCAGUAACUGUUGGUCCGGUGAGUUAAAGGUCUUGCAGCCAACUGACUGUACAUUUGGCCAUCUGCCACUGUGGCUUCCUGAAGCUGAAGGAACCAGAAAGCAGUUUCUUUUCCUGCAACUUGUUCAGAUCUCUCUGUUGAGAGCUUAGAUUUUGAGCUCUGACAGCAUUAGCAUCCAGAGUACUCACUGGUCCCAGAGGCACAUUCCGUUUGCAGAGUGCAUUCAGGCAUCUGCUGCAGCCAGGGCACAACUUGAUCGAUCCACUGUUUCAUGUUUUGGUUUUCAUUAAGUAGAUUUUACGUACUAA